AAAUUGAAGAGUUUGAUCAUGGCUCAGAUUGAACGCUGGCGGCAGGCCUAACACAUGCAAGUCGAACGGUAACAGGAAACAGCUUGCUGUUUCGCUGACGAGUGGCGGACGGGUGAGUAAUGUCUGGGAAACUGCCUGAUGGAGGGGGAUAACUACUGGAAACGGUAGCUAAUACCGCAUAAUGUCGCAAGACUAAAGAGGGGGACCUUCG
This 211-nucleotide ribosomal RNA is filed under the name Escherichia coli. RNAcentral's name for it is "partial 16S ribosomal RNA". It matches the Rfam family "Bacterial small subunit ribosomal RNA", at positions 1 to 217 of the family's 1533-position model. Lineage: Bacteria; Pseudomonadati; Pseudomonadota; Gammaproteobacteria; Enterobacterales; Enterobacteriaceae. RNAcentral also lists the same sequence under 1 other name. The record is from RNAcentral.